RNAcentral lists this long non-coding RNA (3906 nucleotides) under Homo sapiens (human). RNAcentral's name for it is "HSALNT0325322". The record is from RNAcentral. Lineage: Eukaryota; Metazoa; Chordata; Mammalia; Primates; Hominidae.
AAAAUAACACUGGACAGUGACUGCAAUGGAAUCCCAAGCAUUUCUGUUACAGGACAAAAAUCAUCUUCAUGUGCUUUUGCUUUGCAUAAGAGGCACUGUCACUUGUGUUAGGACUUUCUGUUAAGUUGUAGUCCUUUGAAGUUCUCAAGUAACUAAAAAAACUAUAUGUCUUGUGGCAUCCUGGGUAAUUUUAUGAUCUGCAGGAAGCUAAAGAACUCUGGGCAGGAUUUUAGACACAGGAGUACCUCCAGCCUGGUCAAAAUAAUUUAUUUUUCCACUAAUACUUAGAUAGGUUAUAGGAACCCUCCUCCUUCCCAAUAACAUUUAUUUGCUUUUUUACUCAUUCAAAAAGUAGAAUUCCUGGGCACUGUCCUAGAUGUCGAGGAUGUCAGGGUAAACAAAAUUCAGAUGGUCUCUGCCUUUCAUGGUUCUUGUAUCUUAUCAUUGUACCAUAUUCUAUCAGGUUCCUUCAUUCACUCUUAUUCAUCUGUCAAAUACUUAUUGUACACUUACUAUGUGCCAGAAAUUGUUUUGAAAGCUUUGGGAUAUGUCAGUCAACAAAAGAAAGAUUUCUGCUUUUCUGGGCUCUAACGAAGGAAGACGGACAAUAAGAAACAUGAAAAAUGAGACAAAUUAUAUAGUAUUUUGAAAGGUGAUGAGAGCUAUACAGAACAAAAAGAAAAAGAAAAACUAGAUCAUGUUAAGAGAGAUUGGGAAGAUCAGGGUAGCAGGGAAACAGUUUACAGUUUGAAAUAAGAUGCCCUAGGUAAACCUCAUCAGGAAGGUAAUGUUGGAAUAAAGAUUUGCAUGAGGUGAGGGAGUGAGCCGUGUAGAUAUUUGUGAUCAGAACAGUCUAGACAGGUAGUGUCAAGCUUCUAGGUGGGAGUGUGCCUCGUCUGUUUGAAGAACAGUGAGGAGCAAUUCACUAGAACAAGUUGGAAAAGAACAGUAACAAGAACUGAGUUCGGGAGGCAAUAGGAGGCCAGAAUGUGUGAUGCAGUAUGCCCCAUUUAGUCAGAGGUACUCUUCAAGUUUAGGAGCAGAGGGUAAUGUGACUGGCCUGUGUCAGGUUUCAGCCUCCUGUCAACAAAAUGCUGUGGCCAUCCACAUCAUAUAUUAUGAUGGAACCUUAGUGACAAACCUUAUCAAGAGAAAUGGGAUAAAUUAGCCAUCAGCUGUGUCGUCACCCUUUCUCCAGGCAAGACCCCUCUUGUUAGCUGUUGGCAUCUUCUGCUACUUCACUUAUAAGUAAGCAGUGAAGCAUCCAGACUUUGUGUUUUUAGUCCCCUCCCUCGUGUCCAGCAGACAAAUAUCCAGAAUUAGAUAGAAUUACAUAGUAUAUGGCUGAAAUAUUGUGUCACUCAUUAAUCUAUGACAGCAAGAUCCCUAAUACUUUAGUGACAAGUCUAGAGCACUUGCCCAAUUCAGACUAAAGCCAUUAUAACACUCAAAUGUGAAAAGCCAACAUUAAUUGAAAUGUAAAUGAUAGUCUCUCAUGAAGUUGGAUACUUGCUUUAUAUUAGAAACUUAAAGAGAAUCUUAAUCCUUUCAUAAAGCAGGUAAAUACUUUUAAUUGAUCUUUAACUGCAUAUAUAGGAUAAAAUUAAACAUGACACUUGUUCUUUCAAAGUUCAUAGAAGAAAUUCUAAAGCAUUUUAAGGGAUCUGAGCCAUACAGUUUUUCCCAUAUGUAGCUGACAUACCAUCAAGAGGAAAAAAAGCAACCAUAAAUAUGCCUUAUUUAGGCUCUAAAGAGCUAAUCAGAGACUACAGUUAAGUUUAGUGAUGAUAAACUUGUUUUAACAAGACAUUUAUGUCUGGUUACAAUUGGCAUUUAGGAAAAGCGUGCUUAGAUUGAAUCCAGCAAAGUAAAAUUGAGCCAAAUUCUAGAUAGAGCUCAUUUAGACCACCCUCUGUAGAUAAUUUAUUAUCUAAUCACUUCCCAUUUAAAAAAAUUCUUAGUAUGUUUAGUGUUAAGAUAUUAUGAGAGCCAAGGAUGGCAGCCAGAGGUCAAGUUAGUCAAAGACCAUGAACAUAGUGCAUUGUCCUUGAAAAUAACUUGGUGGAGAGAAAGGAAUGUGAGGUCUGCAUCUGACAGCUUCAGUUCUCUGGGCUCGUUGAAACUCUGUUCUCAGUGGUCAUUUAUGUUUCUCUCAGAUCAGCAGUAGCAUUUAUUUUUAGAGAGAGUUUUGAAACUUAAUCACUCAGCACAAUACAGAACUAUAAAUGGAUAAAUAAGUUUUGUUCAGGAGCAAAAGAGAUAUAAUCAUUUCUCCUGACAUUUUGAAGCUGCUUCUGUGGAGUUGGGUUGUUAGGCCAUGGAGCAAGAGGACUGUUGUCUGGUGUGGUGUCAUACUGCAGGACUGUCCCCUUACUCUAGUCAGAGUUCAGUAUGUUGGUGUCCAAGUGGGAGAUGUGGAUGGAUGAGGCUCCAGGUUGUCCCAGGCAGCUCAGUCCUCUGUUUUAGUCCAUUCAGGCUGCUAUAACAAAGUGCCAUAUAAGCCACAAGAUGGCUGGCUUAUAAACAACAGAAAUUUACAUUGUACAGUUCUAGAGGCUGGAGAACCCUAGAUUGAAGCGUUGGCAGGUUCAGUGCCUAGUAACAGCUCAAUUCCUCAUAGAUGGCCAUCAUCUCAUUGUGUCCUCAUAUUGUGGAAGAUGCGAGGGGUCUCUUUUAUAAGAGCACUAAUCCCACUCAUGAGUGCUCCACCCUCAUGACCUAAUCACCUCCCAGGCACCCCACCUCCUAAUGCCAUAACAUUGGGGGUUAGGAUUUCAACAUAAGAAUUUUUGUGGUAACACAACAUUCAGUCUAUAGCACCACAUUAGGGAUUUAGAUAAGCACACCCUAGACGGAUAUUGAGCAUCCUCGUUGCUGAAUGUAAAAGAUCUGCAAGGAUUUGUUUCUUUAUAUCAAUGCAUAUUUCAGCUGUAUUUGGCACUGAUGACCCUACCUCCUCCUUCUUUUACCCUUGAUUUCUUGGUCUUUCUCUACUCCCACGACUAAGGCUGUCUUCCUUUAUUGACAUCUCUUCCUCCUUAACUACCCAUUCAAAAUGCUCUUCUUCCCUGGGGAGUCUCCCUGGGCCCUGUGUUUAUCUCACACAUCCCUUUCUAGUGCACACUGAGAGUUUGAACUACUUGAAAAUUAAUGACUUUAAAGUUGUUAUCUUUACAUUAUAUUUUGCCCUAAAUUCUAAGUAUGGCUCUAUCUAUAGAUGUAUUUAUAACAGUAACUGCCACUAAAUUACUAUAAUUAUGUAUUUGGUUUUGCUUGUUUGUUUUUAAAACCUUUUCAUGCAUUGCAGUUCCACUCAAGUUUCCUCUGCUAUGGACUGCUUCUUCAUACACUUUACCCAUUUUUCUGUUGGGUCAUCUUUUUUUUUUUUCCAAUUUGUAGGAAUCCUACUGUUAGUACUUAGAUUCUGAGUACUAAUUUUUUGACUAUCAUACAAUUUUCUAAUUUCUUUCUCCUUUUCAUAACUUAUCUUUCAUUCGUGUUCUUUGUCAUACAAAGAUUUUAAUUUUCAUGUAGUCAAAUUUAUCUAUCAUUUUGUGAUUUCUGCUUUUUGUGUUCCUUUUAAAAAUAAUUCUCUCCCCUGACAUCAAGGAGACACUCUCAAGUAUUUUAUUUUAUUCCAAACUUCUGUAUGUGCCCUGAUCAAUGUAUUGGUUCAUUCUAAUGAAUGGUGAAAUGAAUAUUUAAUGCACUAAGAACAACCAAAUGGAUAUUUUUUGUUGUUGAUAUUUGUUCUCUUUUAUUUAUUUACUAACAAAAUAGUAAUAAAGGCGUUACAUUUAGGCUACACUAGAUUUAAUAUUUAUUUAAUAAGAUCAUUUCUCUUAUUUCUCUUCCUCCUCCUUUUCUUUUUCUCCUCUUCCUCUUCCUCUUACUCCUACCUCUCCU